Molecule: long non-coding RNA, 287 nt
Filed under: Equus caballus (horse)
Lineage: Eukaryota; Metazoa; Chordata; Mammalia; Perissodactyla; Equidae
Description: lncRNA (ENSECAG00000047342.1)
Source: RNAcentral
CUUCCUCACAUUACCCUGGCCUCUGCUUCUAUCGUCACAUCUUCUCUAAAUUUGACACUUCUGCCUCUCUCAUAGGGACCUUUGAGAUUACAGUGGGCCCACUCAGAAAAUACAGCUCCUCUCCUCAUAUCAAUAUUCUUGACUUAAUCACGUGUGCAAGUCCCUUUUACAAUGUAAGACAUUAUAAUUAACAAACACCAACUGCUGAUUUCUCCAGACACAUAAGGGAAAGGAAUGAUACCAUGAAGAAAGAGCUAUGGGUUUAGAAUCAAUGAACUGCAAUGGGG